AAUUUGUGCAAUAAUCAGUGGUUGUUGAAUGUAAACAGUUCAUAUUUACCUUUGAUAAGACAGUGUGUAUUUGAUGAAGCUAAUCAAGGGUUUCAUGUUUUAUAAUAUUCUUCUGCUUUAUGUUAUUUUGCAAUUAUAUUUACAGAAAUUCGUUCUGGUCCUUUUUCGUAAAUGUACAAAAAGGAUUCGUUUGUCUUCACACAACCUUUGUAUUUUAACUGGACGUUAUGUUAGGGAUAAUAGAAAUGAAAGAAUUUUUUUUGUGUGAUUUAGGAGUAAUAGAGGAUGGAUUUCAUUUCAUCCUGCAAUUAAGCAGAUAUACUGAUUGGCGAUAAAAAUAUAUUACUGGUCUAGGUCAUCAAUUUUUAAUCAACCCCAGCUUUUGCAGGGGGUUCGUGUUGCUUAGUCUUUAGUUUGCUAUGCUGUGUCUUCUGUACUAUCAUUUGUCUGUUGUGUUUUUUUAUCCAUGGCGUUGUCGGUUUAUUUUCAAUGGGUUUAACUGCCCCUUUGGUAUCUUUGGUCCCUCCUUUAAGUAAAUAGAGUUAUUGUUUGGUAAAAAACACAAAACAGCUUUGUAACUUAGGAAAAUAUGUACAUUUAUCUUUUUAAUUAAGAAACAAUUUAUUGUAGUAAAAGGUAUUUUGUAUUGAUGAAACUUCUGACGUCACCUAUUGUUAAUUAUGCAUAUUGUUAAUAUUGUUUGUAGUAUGCCAUAUGUAUAAAC
Molecule: long non-coding RNA, 724 nt
Filed under: Mytilus galloprovincialis (Mediterranean mussel)
Lineage: Eukaryota; Metazoa; Mollusca; Bivalvia; Mytilida; Mytilidae
Source: RNAcentral